RNAcentral lists this ribosomal RNA (535 nucleotides) under uncultured archaeon. RNAcentral's name for it is "bacterial SSU rRNA". It matches the Rfam family "Archaeal small subunit ribosomal RNA", at positions 345 to 879 of the family's 1478-position model. The record is from RNAcentral.
AACCUUUACACUGCACGACAGUGCGAUAAGGGAAUCCCAAGUGCGUAGGCAUAGAGCCUACGCUUUUGUCCACCGUAGGGAGGUGGACGAAUAAGGGCUGGGCAAGACCGGUGCCAGCCGCCGCGGUAAUACCGGCAGCCCGAGUGAUGGCCGAUCUUAUUGGGCCUAAAGCGUCCGUAGCUGGCCGCGCAAGUCUAUCGGAAAAUCCACCCGCUCAACGGGUGGGCGUCCGGUAGAAACUGCGUGGCUUGGGACCGGAAGGCGCGACGGGUACGUCCGGGGUAGGAGUGAAAUCCUGUAAUCCUGGACGGACCGCCGAUGGCGAAAGCACGUCGCGAAGACGGAUCCGACAGUGAGGGACGAAAGCUAGGGUCUCGAACCGGAUUAGAUACCCGGGUAGUCCUAGCCGUAAACGAUGCCUGUUAGGUGUGACUCCCACUACGAGUGGGUGUUGUGCCGUAGGGAAGCCGCUAAACAGGCCGCCUGGGAAGUACGUCCGCAAGGAUGAAACUUAAAGGAAUUGGCGGGGGAGCAC